This 253-nucleotide ribosomal RNA is filed under the name uncultured bacterium. RNAcentral describes it as "partial 16S ribosomal RNA". It matches the Rfam family "Bacterial small subunit ribosomal RNA", at positions 524 to 776 of the family's 1533-position model. The record is from RNAcentral.
GACAGAGGGUGCAAACGUUGUUCGGAAUUACUGGGCGUAAAGCGCGUGUAGGCGGCUUGGCAAGUCGGGUGUGAAAGCCCCGGGCUCAACCUGGGAAGUGCACUCGAAACUGCUUGGCUUGAGUACUGGAGAGGGAAGCGGAAUUCUCGGUGUAGAGGUGAAAUUCGUAGAGAUGUGGAGGAACACCAGUGGCGAAGGCGACUUUCUGGCUUAUAACUGACGCUGAGGCGCGAAAGCGUGGGGAGCAAACAGG